GCUGGGCGUGGUGGCGUGCGCCUUUAACCGAGCUACUACGGAGCAGGUAGUGUCGAAUGACUUGACGUCGGGACUCCUGUCGUACGUCGACAGGGGUCCCUUCGGGGAACCUUCGUCCACCAGGUUGAAUAAAGAGGAACGUACCGGUCCAGGAUGGAAACAUAGCAGACAAAAGUUCCCGCGUCAAACAGUAGUGGGAUAGCACCUGUGAAUAGGAGGCGUGCGACAGCCCGGCCAAGAUAGUUGAACCCGUUUCCAU
Molecule: signal recognition particle RNA, 259 nt
Filed under: Paramuricea clavata
Lineage: Eukaryota; Metazoa; Cnidaria; Anthozoa; Malacalcyonacea; Plexauridae
Description: Metazoan signal recognition particle RNA
Rfam family: Metazoan signal recognition particle RNA
About the family: The signal recognition particle (SRP) is a universally conserved ribonucleoprotein.
Source: Rfam by way of RNAcentral